This is a non-coding RNA of Trichonephila inaurata madagascariensis, 83 nucleotides long. The record is from the annotation of a GenBank genome assembly. Lineage: Eukaryota; Metazoa; Arthropoda; Arachnida; Araneae; Nephilidae.
UCCUUUUUGCCACACAUCCGGUAUAUGGUUAGUGACGCUGACUGCGGUGCUGUAGAUCCUGUGUUCAAAUCCCGGAGAAGGAA